Cyanistes caeruleus (blue tit) is the source of this 1049-nucleotide non-coding RNA. The record is from RefSeq and is a predicted model, not a curated record. NCBI's taxonomy places the organism in Eukaryota, Metazoa, Chordata, Aves, Passeriformes, Paridae.
AGAAAUGUAAUCAUCAUUUUGAGUGGUACUUCACUUGCCCAAAGAGGGCUGUGACAAAAUCAUCAUAUCUGCUAGUUGGACAAACAAGGCUUCACAGCAACUUUCUUGCAACUUUUAAUAACCAUGGAUGAAUGGAGCUGGGAUAAUCAAGUUCACGCGUAAUUUACCGCGAAGGAUUGUAUUUCAUUUUGCUGUCACACACCCUAUUUAUAAUCUUCUGCAUUGCUCUGAGAAGGGACUCUGGAAGGAGGAGCUGUCUUGGGUAUCACAGGACGUGCAGCUCCACACACACACAGCAAUGCCAGAGCUUGCUGAUCAUCCCCCAGCGUAAACAGGAGCAGCAAAGUGGCGCUCUGACAGGAUCAUGAAAGAGUCAUGAGGAGACCCAAAACAACAGAUGGCAGUAAAGCAUUAUUGGGUCUCCUAACCAAAAGGAAUGGAGGUGUGUGAUAUUACAAGCUUCCAGAUGGCAGACUGUAGAAAUGAGAAUUCCACUAUCUGCUCUUGUGAAUCCUAACCACUGCACAUCAUAGAAAGGUAUAAUUACUUAUAGGGAGAAGGUGUUUUCAAUGAUUUUGAGUGAUAUUUCACUCAAGUUACAAGAUGAAAUAUUUUCUGGACAGGUAGAGCUGAAACUUAGGCACAUUUGUGUCAUUCAAGAGCUUGGUGUGGUCAGUUCUUUUCCUUAGCUGCACUUGAAGUCUUAGUUUUUAUUGCCUUGAACAUACCAGUUCCUUUCUGUAAAAGUGUCCUGAAAGCAUCUCAUGACCAAAUAUAAUAAAGAGGGUCAAAACUUGACACCAUAUUGGGGUUGUGUCUUUAACUUUCUUUUGUUUGGGAAGCAUCCCUCAAGACAGAUUUAAUCUGAAAGGUUUCAAUCUGAGGGUUGUGGCUUGAAAACCCUAGUCUAUUAAUUAAUUGUUGACUGCCACAGGUCUCUGUUAGUUCCCCCUUUUAUAAUAUGAAUAAUGUGAACUAUGGCCUGAUGUUCAAUGAAUAUAUUCAUUUUUAUUGUAUUAGUCUUAGAAUAAACCUUAGUGAAAGAAUGA